RNAcentral lists this ribosomal RNA (301 nucleotides) under uncultured bacterium. RNAcentral's name for it is "partial 16S ribosomal RNA". It matches the Rfam family "Bacterial small subunit ribosomal RNA", at positions 509 to 807 of the family's 1533-position model. The record is from RNAcentral.
CAGCCGCCACGGUAAAACGGAGGGUGCAAGCGUUAAUCGGAAUUACUGGGCGUAAAGCGCACGCAGGCGGUUUGUUAAGUCAGAUGUGAAAUCCCCGAGCUUAACUUGGGAACUGCAUUUGAAACUGGCAAGCUAGAGUCUUGUAGAGGGGGGUAGAAUUCCAGGUGUAGCGGUGAAAUGCGUAGAGAUCUGGAGGAAUACCGGUGGCGAAGGCGGCCCCCUGGACAAAGACUGACGCUCAGGUGCGAAAGCGUGGGGAGCAAACAGGAUUAGAUACCCCGGUAGUCCCUGUCUAUUAUAC